RNAcentral lists this ribosomal RNA (467 nucleotides) under Peptostreptococcaceae bacterium canine oral taxon 071. Its description in RNAcentral is "bacterial SSU rRNA". It matches the Rfam family "Bacterial small subunit ribosomal RNA", at positions 9 to 456 of the family's 1533-position model. Lineage: Bacteria; Bacillati; Bacillota; Clostridia; Peptostreptococcales; Peptostreptococcaceae. The record is from RNAcentral.
GAGUUUGAUCCUGGCUCAGGAUGAACGCUGGCGGCGUGCUUAACACAUGCAAGUCGAACGAAGCGAGAAGAAAGAAGUUUUUCGAAAUGGAUUUUUUCUUUGCUUAGUGGCGGACGGGUGCGUAACACGUAGGUAACCUGCCCUGUGCUUGGGAAUAACUCCGGGAAACCGGUGCUAAUGCCGAAUAAUAUCGCCUGUCGGCAUCGAGAGGCGAUCAAAGAAUUUUGGCACAGGAUGGGCCUGCGCCGGAUUAGCUGGUUGGUGAGGUAACGGCUCACCAAGGCGACGAUCCGUAGCCGACCUGAGAGGGUGAUCGGCCACACUGGAACUGAGACACGGUCCAGACUCCUACGGGAGGCAGCAGUGGGGAAUAUUGCACAAUGGGGGAAACCCUGAUGCAGCAACGCCGCGUGAGCGAUGAAGGCUUUCGAGUCGUAAAGCUCUGUUCCUAUGGGAAGAUGAUGACG